AUUGAACGCUGGCGGCAGGCCUAACACAUGCAAGUCGAGCGGAUGAAGGGAGCUUGCUCCUAGAUUCAGCGGCGGACGGGUGAGUAAUGCCUAGGAAUCUGCCUGGUAGUGGGGGAUAACGUCCGGAAACGGGCGCUAAUACCGCAUACGUCCUGAGGGAGAAAGUGGGGGAUCUUCGGACCUCACGCUAUCAGAUGAGCCUAGGUCGGAUUAGCUAGUUGGUGGGGUAAAGGCCUACCAAGGCGACGAUCCGUAACUGGUCUGAGAGGAUGAUCAGUCACCCUGGAACUGAGACACGGUCCAGACUCCUACGGGAGGCAGCAGUGGGGAAUAUUGGACAAUGGGCGAAAGCCUGAUCCAGCCAUGCCGCGUGUGUGAAGAAGGUCUUCGGAUUGUAAAGCACUUUAAGUUGGGAGGAAGGGCAGUAAGUUAAUACCUUGCUGUUUUGACGUUACCAACAGAAUAAGCACCGGCUAACUUCGUG
This 484-nucleotide ribosomal RNA is filed under the name uncultured bacterium. Its description in RNAcentral is "partial 16S ribosomal RNA". It matches the Rfam family "Bacterial small subunit ribosomal RNA", at positions 30 to 507 of the family's 1533-position model. The record is from RNAcentral.